RNAcentral lists this ribosomal RNA (497 nucleotides) under uncultured bacterium. RNAcentral describes it as "partial 16S ribosomal RNA". It matches the Rfam family "Bacterial small subunit ribosomal RNA", at positions 28 to 507 of the family's 1533-position model. The record is from RNAcentral.
GAUGAACGCUGGCGGCGUGCCUAAUACAUGCAAGUCGAGCGAACGGACGAGAAGCUUGCUUCUCUGAUGUUAGCGGCGGACGGGUGAGUAACACGUGGAUAACCUACCUAUAAGACUGGGAUAACUUCGGGAAACCGGAGCUAAUACCGGAUAAUAUUUUGAACCGCAUGGUUCAAAAGUGAAAGACGGCCUUUCUGUCACUUAUAGCUGGAUCCGCGCUGCAUUAGCUAGUUGGUAAGGUAACGGCUUACCAAGGCAACGAUGCAUAGCCGACCUGAGAGGGUGAUCGGCCACACGGGAACUGAGACACGGUCCAGACUCCUACGGGAGGCAGCAGUAGGGAAUCUUCCGCAAUGGGCGAAAGCCUGACGGAGCAACGCCGCGUGAGUGAUGAAGGUCUUCGGAUCGUAAAACUCUGUUAUUAGGGAAGAACAUAUGUGUAAGUAACUGUGCACAUCUUGACGGUACCUAAUCAGAAAGCCACGGCUAACUACGUG